This 272-nucleotide ribosomal RNA is filed under the name Salmonella enterica. Its description in RNAcentral is "partial 16S ribosomal RNA". It matches the Rfam family "Bacterial small subunit ribosomal RNA", at positions 1 to 271 of the family's 1533-position model. RNAcentral also lists the same sequence under 1 other name. Lineage: Bacteria; Pseudomonadati; Pseudomonadota; Gammaproteobacteria; Enterobacterales; Enterobacteriaceae. The record is from RNAcentral.
AAAUUGAAGAGUUUGAUCAUGGCUCAGAUUGAACGCUGGCGGCAGGCCUAACACAUGCAAGUCGAACGGUAGCACAGAGAGCUUGCUCUCGGGUGACGAGUGGCGGACGGGUGAGUAAUGUCUGGGAAACUGCCUGAUGGAGGGGGAUAACUACUGGAAACGGUGGCUAAUACCGCAUAACGUCGCAAGACCAAAGAGGGGGACCUUCGGGCCUCUUGCCAUCAGAUGUGCCCAGAUGGGAUUAGCUAGUUGGUGAGGUAACGGCUCACCAA